UACGUAGGGUGCGAGCGUUAAUCGGAAUUACUGGGCGUAAAGCGUGCGCAGGCGGUGAUGUAAGACAGAUGUGAAAUCCCCGGGCUCGACCUGGGAACUGCAUUUGUGACUGCAUCGCUGGAGUGCGGCAGAGGGGGAUGGAAUUCCGCGUGUAGCAGUGAAAUGCGUAGAUAUGCGGAGGAACACCGAUGGCGAAGGCAAUCCCCUGGGCCUGCACUGACGCUCAUGCACGAAAGCGUGGGGAGCAAACAGGAUUGAGAA
RNAcentral lists this ribosomal RNA (261 nucleotides) under uncultured bacterium. RNAcentral's name for it is "partial 16S ribosomal RNA". It matches the Rfam family "Bacterial small subunit ribosomal RNA", at positions 524 to 784 of the family's 1533-position model. The record is from RNAcentral.